Long non-coding RNA from Cyprinus carpio (common carp), 455 nucleotides. Lineage: Eukaryota; Metazoa; Chordata; Actinopteri; Cypriniformes; Cyprinidae. The record is from Ensembl.
UCUUGUGCUUCAUAUUUUCAUGAAUUUUCAUAACAUAUUUAAGCACGACAUGUUGACAUGUCUCAUCCACACUACAGCUACAUUCACGAAGGGUGUAUUCACAAAUGAAUAACACUAGAUUCACAUGAAUCAAUUUGUGACAUAACCUACAAAUAUAACAUCGCUUAAUCUGUUAAGGAGAUAUAACUCCAAACCUGUAGCAGUGACAUGAUUAGUUCUUGGUGUGUUCUCUCCCUUUCUUUGGACUUUGGCUUGGCAGAGAGAGAAACCGUCGCCUUAACCGAUUGUGGAGGAAUAACAGAAAGUCAAGAUCCAGGGCCAUCCUUAGGGAUUUGCAGCUGUUGCGGUCACUCGGGGCCAUGCGCUUGAGGGGGCCACACGAUCACGAACACACCGGGCCCUGCCUCCACGCGUUGUUUAGACCAAUACUUGGAGAAAAACAAACACAUCUUUCC